This 284-nucleotide long non-coding RNA is filed under the name Ananas comosus (pineapple). RNAcentral describes it as "long non-coding RNA (ACOM_LNC035222)". Lineage: Eukaryota; Viridiplantae; Streptophyta; Magnoliopsida; Poales; Bromeliaceae. The record is from RNAcentral.
UGCCGAACUUUACGAAUGAAUCUUUGUUCUUCAAUUUGAAUCUUUUCUUCAAAACUUCCGCGAUCAACUCUUCAAAACUCUAAUCAACUUUACGAAAUUCGCCAACCUAUAAAAUCCUUAACAUAAGUUACCCAAUCUCAUGGUGAACUCGAAGUUCACAAGCAUGACUCACGUGUAAGUCUCAUAGGGAAAGUCUCACUGAACUACUCUCGAGACCGCCUGCGGACAGCACACAGACCGUCCAGACAGCACACUGACUGUCCCUCUAGUGACCAACCUCCGGA